This 18-nucleotide ribosomal RNA is filed under the name Amanita fuliginea. RNAcentral describes it as "partial 18S ribosomal RNA". The record is from RNAcentral. Lineage: Eukaryota; Fungi; Basidiomycota; Agaricomycetes; Agaricales; Amanitaceae.
GAGCGACUGCGGAGGACA